UACGUAGGGAGCGAGCGUUGUCCGGAAUUACUGGGUGUAAAGGGAGCGUAGGCGGGAUCGCAAGUUGGAUGUCUAAUCUAUCGGCUCAACUGGUAGUCGCAUUCAAAACUGUGAUUCUUGAGUGGAGUAGAGGCAGGCGGAAUUCCUAGUGUAGCGGUGAAAUGCGUAGAUAUUAGGAGGAACACCAGUGGCGAAGGCGGCCUGCUGGGCUUUUACUGACGCUGAGGCUCGAAAGUGUGGGGAGCAAACAGG
This 252-nucleotide ribosomal RNA is filed under the name uncultured bacterium. Its description in RNAcentral is "partial 16S ribosomal RNA". It matches the Rfam family "Bacterial small subunit ribosomal RNA", at positions 524 to 776 of the family's 1533-position model. The record is from RNAcentral.